UCUAUUGAGUCUACGUGUAUAUUGUAUUGUGUUUAUUAACCUUGUGAAAGGAACUACCAUGAAAAAUACAUCUCUUUGGAUGAGAGGUUGAAUGCAGUUGAAGAAGGAUGAUCUUUGCAGAUUGACCAAUUCACUUACCUUGAACUAAGUUAAUGCUUCACAUCUACUCUUAUACUUAGAAAACUGAUACAUAGAUCGGUUGUUGAACGUAGUAGAUUUAUACAUUGCUUUGGCUACAACAUUGACGUUUUUUGCCUUUUACCUUUUUUUGAUUUGUUGUGCUAUUGGAACUAUUGUUAGCUUCCAAACCAAAAUAUUAACCACAAUCAACUAUUUCACAUAUGUGGCCAAUGGAUACAAAAUAUAAACAAGCAUAAAGGGGAAAACUGGUGUCAUGCCAUUCUAUUGUAACUGUAAUUAUAGCUUCCUGUGGAAGUUGACACAUCUUUCCCAAAAUAGCCAUAUAUUCUACCAAACACACGGAUCAAUUAACCCGAGGUCAUAUUCUUCUGACCUUCCCUCUCUGUCUCCCUCUAGAGUGAAGCGGAGUGUGCUGCAGUCCUUUGGUGCAGGUGUUGUGUGUGAGUGAGCAGAGACGAGUGAAAGCACCAGCCGGGGCUGGCUGAGGCAGCAGAGGAGAGAGUGUAUAAGACCGCACAAAGAGCUUGAAGGAUUUCUCAGGACACAAAUGAGAGAAGCAGCUGAGCCAGGGGUAGGAUGGAGGGGAUGCAAAGGAUUGAGAGGAGGAGGACGCGGAACGGUGGAGAGAACUGUGCACUAGUGGGCUCCGUUUUGUCCCUAACCCGUACCUCUGGAUGUCUCUGCCCAGACUGGUCCGACCCAAAGUUUACACUAUUGUAAGGCACUGGGUACACCUGGAGGAUCGGACACGCUUUCUUUGCCAUAAUAGAGUAUUUUCUGUUAAGCAAUGGGCUCUCUAAUGCCUAACUGGAAUUUUCCUUGAAGCUGCUCCAUUUUUUACAUACACAACGUGAUUGAUCUGCUUUGCAUUCUGGAUCAGAGGCUCUAGGAUAAAAAAAAAGAAAAAGUAAAGCCUUAAUACGGUCACUUGGCUGAGUUUUGUAUCGCUGCUAAACUAUUUUUAUAGUGGAUUCGUAUGCGUGUUGAAAUCUUCUGACCUUUUUUUAAUGGUAACCCAACCAGCGUUUACACUGUUUCCCAAGGUGUGUGGCAUAACAGAAAUGCCAUGUUACUGCCACUGUCAAUGUGUUUGGGGGCAUGCGAGUGUGCUCUUGUUAGUGUAAUGAGUAAAUUGUUUGAAAUGUCCCUACACCAUGUGAGCUCUGGGAUACUUUCAGAGAUACACAUAACUUCAUGCAAUGCUACUUUUCUGCUCAUGAGGCCAGUUGGAAUUCCCUUCUGAGUUUCUCUGCUUGUUGUGAUAUUGACACUAUAGUGCAUCUCUAAUGCAUUCCUGAUUGUAUGAUGGUUGCUGAUUUGUUAGCUCUGUGUUUAUUGCCUAUUCUAUUACUUUAUUGAGUAUAUUGCUGAAAUGUUUUUUUUAAGUUAUUCAAAAGUCAAUAUUUAUUUUGUUUAGUUGUUUUUGUUGACAUAUGAUUAAUGGUUGAGUCGUUGGGCAAUAUAUGGUAAUUAAUACAGUAGAAUGAGCUCUUCAAGGUUGUUUACAUGAAAUUCAAUUGAAGCUAAACUCAAUCAGAAACCAAAAGUGUACUUUUACCUUCAUACCUGUAUGUUUGGCAACAGAAGUUAACCUCAACAGCAAAUUCCCAAAGAUUGAAUAAGAUGUGAUCUGACUGAAAAGAUGCAUUUUGUGUUUGGAAUACUUGAUGAUUAAAAAUGCGUACUUCAUUA
Gadus macrocephalus (Pacific cod) is the source of this 1833-nucleotide long non-coding RNA. RefSeq lists it as uncharacterized. The record is from RefSeq and is a predicted model, not a curated record. NCBI's taxonomy places the organism in Eukaryota, Metazoa, Chordata, Actinopteri, Gadiformes, Gadidae. The transcript is spliced from 2 exons.